GAAAUGUGAAGCAUAUAUAAAUAUUGUCUCCGAAUUACACAUCUAUUUUCGACGAUUUUUCUCCUUCAUUUGUUGAAUACUUGAGAUUGGCUAGACAGGGAGUAUUUAAUGGACUUAAUGCAUUAUAUGGCGCGCGAAAUAUUGGCUUCGUAUUACAUUUAAGGAUGAUUUUAAGUGAUUUUUCCCGAGCGUUGCUGACUUGCUGUUCGCAGUGUGAUGCAUUUAUAUAAACUGACUUGAAGCAAUUUGAUUCCUACGACGUUUGGGGAUAACCCGUUUCAAACUAUGGAUUUUUAACUUGGAAUUUUCAAGAUAUGUUGACGGAAAGUUUCCAUUUGAUAUAGGUGAAUAUAGUUGAUAAAACAGCGCUAAUUUUAGUGAUAAAUAUGUUUUAUUUUGUAAUGAAAUGUACACAUUUUGGCACGUGGAUACUGUG
Non-coding RNA from Paramuricea clavata, 436 nucleotides. NCBI's taxonomy places the organism in Eukaryota, Metazoa, Cnidaria, Anthozoa, Malacalcyonacea, Plexauridae. The record is from the annotation of a GenBank genome assembly.